Molecule: ribosomal RNA, 534 nt
Filed under: uncultured Acidobacteriota bacterium
Lineage: Bacteria; Pseudomonadati; Acidobacteriota
Description: bacterial SSU rRNA
Rfam family: Bacterial small subunit ribosomal RNA
Source: RNAcentral
UGGGGAAUUUUUCGCAAUGGGGGCAACCCUGACGAAGCAACGCCGCGUGGGUGAUGAAGUCUCUUGGGACGUAAAACCCUUUCGACGGGGAAGAAACCGCAAGGUUGACGGUACCCGUAGAAGAAGCCCCGGCUAACUCCGUGCCAGCAGCCGCGGUAAUACGGGGGGGGCAAGCGUUGUUCGGAAUUACUGGGCGUAAAGGGCGCGUAGGCGGUCUACUAAGUUGGAUGUGAAAACUCUGGGCUUAACCCAGAGCCUGCAUUCAAAACUGAUAGGCUGGAGUUCUGGAGGGGAUAGCGGAAUUCCUGGUGUAGCGGUGAAAUGCGUAGAUAUCAGGAGGAACACCGGUGGCGAAGGCGGCUAUCUGGACAGAAACUGACGCUGAGGCGCGAAAGCUAGGGGAGCAAACAGGAUUAGAUACCCUGGUAGUCCUAGCCCUAAACGAUGGAUACUUGGUGUGACUGGGAUUGAAUCCAGUCGUGCCGAAGCUAACGCAUUAAGUAUCCCGCCUGGGGAGUACGGUCGCAAGGCUGA